AAAAGACGUCAGUGUGUGUGUGCGUGUGUGUGUGUGUGUGUGGUGUGUGUGCGCGCGUGUGUAUGUGUGUAUGUGUGUGUGCACGCGCGCGCGCGCUCCUGUGUUUGGGGAAAUAGAAAGUUUUGCCUGUUGGGGGAGCAAUACGGGAAAAGUGAGCCGAGGAGAGGACGACGCAGAGAGGGCGAGCCUGCCGGGUCGCGGCGGCAGGCGGGGGAGCCGAGCGGGGACCUGCGCGGAACCCCCGGGAGUAGCAGCUUUGCGGGCCGUAAUGCGUUUGCUGCGGACACUUCGACUCCGGGCCAUUCUCCCCCUUUGGGAUACGUCCUGGACUUCUCGGGCCGCGAGAACUUGUUGACAAGUGAAAGCUUAGUAGAACCUCGGCUCUAUUUGUCUUUGUUUAUUUUUUACAAAGUGACUUCAUAUUUACUCUGGA
This is a long non-coding RNA of Mustela lutreola (European mink), 433 nucleotides long. RefSeq lists it as uncharacterized. The record is from RefSeq and is a predicted model, not a curated record. NCBI's taxonomy places the organism in Eukaryota, Metazoa, Chordata, Mammalia, Carnivora, Mustelidae. The transcript is spliced from 2 exons.